AUGGGAGAUGCUUGCAUUUCCUGAUGGCGACCGGCGCACGGGUGAGUAACGCGUAUCCAACCUGCCCCUUACUCCGGCACAGCCCGUCGAAAGGCGGAUUAAUGCGGGAUGCAGUCAGAGAGAUGCAUAUAUGUCUGACGAAAGGAUUCGUCCGGUAAGGGAUGGGGAUGCGUCCGAUUAGCUUGACGGCGGGGUAACGGCCCACCGUGGCUACGAUCGGUAGGGGUUCUGAGAGGAAGGUCCCCACAUUGGAACUGAGACACGGUCCAAACUCC
Molecule: ribosomal RNA, 275 nt
Filed under: uncultured bacterium
Lineage: Bacteria
Description: partial 16S ribosomal RNA
Rfam family: Bacterial small subunit ribosomal RNA
Source: RNAcentral